UUUUCGGAAUACACAAAUCAUUAUGUCCUCCGAACAAGAGCGUACAAUCUGUACAUCAAUGGGUUCACUGUUAUUACGCUCAAUUUUAGAGAAAGGGACAUUUAAACUCAAAAUCGAAAAUAAGGUGACCACACCACGGAAGACACAUGUUGAUUAGAAGAAGAGGAAUUGUUGCAAAUGUCCAAGCAUACUUCUAACAAAGAUACAAGACGCAGAUGAGACAAAUAUUUUAUUGGUUAAAAAUUAAAGCAAACUUCAAAUAUAAAAAGCUGUAAGAUACUGGAAGUGACAAAAACCAUGUGAAACUCAGUCGUCUAUAGUAGAGGCAAAUACUGACCACUAGAUAUCUCAAACGUAAAAUUUAAUAGAC
RNAcentral lists this long non-coding RNA (370 nucleotides) under Mytilus galloprovincialis (Mediterranean mussel). The record is from RNAcentral. Lineage: Eukaryota; Metazoa; Mollusca; Bivalvia; Mytilida; Mytilidae.